AACCUUACUCUAGCAGUUUUGCUUGGAUAUGAAGGAAGAGUACAUAAAGACUUUCCUUUGAAAUAUAUUAGUAGAUGUAAAGUUGUGAAUUACACUGUUUUGAUGUAAUAGUCUUUAUUGGUUGUGAUUUGUAUACAACUAUAUCUUGCUUUAACAUAUUUUUUAUUGUUUUUAU
This 175-nucleotide unclassified non-coding RNA is filed under the name uncultured Pezizales. Its description in RNAcentral is "sequence contains ITS2". Lineage: Eukaryota; Fungi; Ascomycota; Pezizomycetes; Pezizales. The record is from RNAcentral.